AAACUAACAGUGACCRGUUUAAUAUUUACUUGUGAGUAAAUAGAUGCACUGUAGAUGAGUAUGACGUYGCAAGACAAAAUUAGAAAAGUAAAAACAUUGAAAACAAGUUUGACUGAACUCAUUUAAUUUAAGCUGUCAUUAAGAAAAUCCAUUUAUCAAAAGGAAGGAUAGCUGACAGGAAAAAGCUCAUUUUCUAUAAAAGCUCCAGUAACUCUAAAGUUAGAGCAACGUCAGUGRAKUGGACCACUUGUAAGAAAGAUGCAYAAAUACGUAUAAGGUGACGUGACGCCAACGUCUUAAAGUGGGAGGGAUAUGGUCCUACAAAUAUGUGAGAUCUGACCCCCCCAGCCACCAAACCAACUAAAAUUCGCUAAAUAACCACUCAUCGACGACUCAUCAAUAAAAAAGUCCUGUUUUUAGAGUUUGAAGCGACGGGGAUGAAGCGACACUCUGAAAAUGAGAUGAGAACUGCAAAAMGUCCCGUCUGAAGAAGACCUGGUGAUAUGCAGCGAAGCAGCACAGUGGAGCCUAUCUAAAAUGCUUCGAAUUUGUGUCAACAAUUUGCCAAGAAUGUGACUGGUAACAGGAGUAAAMACAAAACAAAAAAGAGGUUAAAAGUAUGGACAUUAGUUUUCCAUCAGAACAACGGAGCAAGCUGAAGAUCCAGACAGGAUUUUGAAUUUGUGUUAAAGCAUUGAURUUUUACACAUCUUUUAAAAAAAAAGUCUUUGUCUUUCCCCCCGUGGCACUUCCAAAUUGCAUUCUCAAUUUCAUUGCUUGUCUUUUUAUCCCCAAAAGAAAACAAACCCAUCCACAUUUGAAUUCAUGUAUUCCACUUUUUUUAUCUCAUCUUGAUGUUGGAGAGGAACAUGAUGGGACUCUUGAACCAUAACCAUCUCAAUUUUGUGUUUGUCUGGAACGAGGCGCUUGUAUGAGGAACAGAAGAGAACAUCUGAGUGAGGUUUCCUCCCAGAGCUUAAUGCAAAAUGCCAAGUUGGAACAUGGGGAUGGGGUGACUUUGAAAGAGGAGGAUGUCGUAGCCUUCAGCACUUUUUUAUCUCCGAGGAGGUCCUUUUAUUGCCUGGGGAUGCCAAUCUGUUUUCGGGAAAGAAACUACACGCAUCAAACCAGAACCUUCUUUUGCCCCUUUCUUGUCUUUCUUGGUCCAUGGUCUUUUUUUGCCCCGAGGCCUGGCUGCGACCACAAGAAGUAGGCUGGUGGUCCCAGCAGGGUCCGAGCCUCAGACAAACCAUUAGCAUGAGGGAAUUAAAGUCAUUACAGCUAGAAGGGCGAUGGAGGACGAGUCCUCCGUUCGGCACAUGAGGGAUGAUGUUUGUGAAGUUGGGUGAGGAAGGCAACAGACAAAAAACCAGAAGAUUUAUUAGAGAGACAUCUGAGGAAGUUGUAGUUCAUGUUCAUCUAUGCUGUUUGCAAAUGUUUUGCUUAGAGGGGAUAUUUCCUGUGAAUAAAAAAAGUUGUUCUCUCUCAGUUUUUUUUUUCUCAGAUUCACUCAUUUCAUGCAUGUUAUCAUUUCUGGGGAGAAUUUUAUUACAGUACUCAUAUAAACAUAUUGUGUAUUUUGUCACUGAUAAUAAAAAAAUAAAUUUAUAGUAUAAAACAUGCUACUGGAAUGAACUCCCUUAAUUUCACACAUAUUACGAAUAGGAAUCCACAUGUCCUGCUUAAACAAUGCUGUUAUUACUUUAAAUUUGCUGUGGAUUUUCACAUUUAACUUUUAAAUCCAUGUCUGCUUUGUUUGAAAGGAAACUUCUUUUCUGGAGUGACCCUGGGAAAAAAAAGGAGCUAUUUCUGUCAAGUGAGUUUCUCCCCAUCACGGUGACCCUGCCUUUGAGUCUCCAUCAUUUCAUUAACUUCUGCCCGGCAGCCAGGGUGGCUCCUAUUAUCUUUCUACAUGCAGAAUGUGACUUAAAGCUUGCAGAUGGACUGAAUAAUUAUGUGCUUUUUAAGCAAGGUCAGCGUGCUGACUCUGAACCUCUCUGAGCACGAGCACAGACACGGACAAAAGAUUUCUUUGUCCGCUGUUUGCGAUUAAAAGGCUCAUUUCAUUUAAGAAAACGCACAAAAGUGUUGAGAACAGUAAGAAAAAAACUCAAUCUGUGCAGACACCGAGCAAUUAAUUGAGUGUUUCCCCCCAUUUACUUGAUAUUUACAUUUUAUUUCCAUUAACGUACAAAUGGCUGUACUUUGCUCAAUAAAAUGAAGUUUAUCUGAAACUCA
Molecule: long non-coding RNA, 2238 nt
Organism: Austrofundulus limnaeus
Lineage: Eukaryota; Metazoa; Chordata; Actinopteri; Cyprinodontiformes; Rivulidae
Exons: 3
Source: RefSeq, a predicted model, not a curated record